This 200-nucleotide long non-coding RNA is filed under the name Elaeis guineensis (African oil palm). RNAcentral's name for it is "long non-coding RNA (EGUI_LNC054444)". The record is from RNAcentral. Lineage: Eukaryota; Viridiplantae; Streptophyta; Magnoliopsida; Arecales; Arecaceae.
AUUGGCCUUAAACUUGUGCUUCUAGAUCUGACUCCUAGCACUUUAUAGUUUUUUAUUCUUUUUCUUUUUUCUUUUCUUAAAAAGAUGAUGACUAUCUGAAGAAGAUCCUCUCACUAAAUUUAUCAUCUUUUUAUGGAGCUAGUGAUUCUUCUCAAAAGUCUGUAGCAACCCCAACAGACCAUAGUAGUUGACUAUAGAUU